GCCAAAUGUUGGGUACUAUACAUGGCAGUCGAGCGGACAGUAUCAGGAGCUUGCUCCCUGAUGUUAGCGGCGGACGGGUGAGUAACACGUGGGUAACCUGCCUGUAAGACUGGGAUAACUCCGGGAAACCGGGGCUAAUACCGGAUGGUUGUUUGAACCGCAUGGUUCAGACAUAAAAGGUGGCUUCGGCUACCACUUACAGAUGGACCCGCGGCGCAUUAGCUAGUUGGUGAGGUAACGGCUCACCAAGGCAACGAUGCGUAGCCGACCUGAGAGGGUGAUCGGCCACACUGGGACUGAGACACGGCCCAGACUCCUACGGGAGGCAGCAGUAGGGAAUCUUCCGCAAUGGACGAAAGUCUGACGGAGCAACGCCGCGUGAGUGAUGAAGGUUUUCGGAUCGUAAAGCUCUGUUGUUAGGGAAGAACAAGUGCCGUUCAAAUAGGGCGGCACCUUGACGGUACCUAACCAGAAAGCCACGGCUAACUACGUGCCAGCAGCCGCGGUAAUACGUAGGUGGCAAGCGUUGUCCGGAAUUAUUGGGCGUAAAGGGCUCGCAGGCGGUUUCUUAAGUCUGAUGUGAAAGCCCCCGGCUCAACCGGGGAGGGUCAUUGGAAACUGGGGAACUUGAGUGCAGAAGAGGAGAGUGGAAUUCCACGUGUAGCGGUGAAAUGCGUAGAGAUGUGGAGGAACACCAGUGGCGAAGGCGACUCUCUGGUCUGUAACUGACGCUGAGGAGCGAAAGCGUGGGGAGCGAACAGGAUUAGAUACCUUGGUAGUCCAAA
Molecule: ribosomal RNA, 785 nt
Filed under: Bacillus subtilis
Lineage: Bacteria; Bacillati; Bacillota; Bacilli; Caryophanales; Bacillaceae
Description: bacterial SSU rRNA
Rfam family: Bacterial small subunit ribosomal RNA
Source: RNAcentral